RNAcentral lists this transfer RNA (85 nucleotides) under Dipodomys ordii (Ord's kangaroo rat). It matches the Rfam family "tRNA". From Rfam's summary of the family: Transfer RNA (tRNA) molecules are approximately 80 nucleotides in length. Their secondary structure includes four short double-helical elements and three loops (D, anti-codon, and T loops). The record is from Rfam by way of RNAcentral. Lineage: Eukaryota; Metazoa; Chordata; Mammalia; Rodentia; Heteromyidae.
GGGGGUAUGGCUCAAGUGGUAGAGCAUCUACCUAACACUUACCUAAGUAAUAGGAAGGCCCUGAGUUCAAAUCCCAGUUCCACUA